RNAcentral lists this ribosomal RNA (492 nucleotides) under uncultured bacterium. RNAcentral describes it as "partial 16S ribosomal RNA". It matches the Rfam family "Bacterial small subunit ribosomal RNA", at positions 29 to 507 of the family's 1533-position model. The record is from RNAcentral.
AGCGAACGCUGGCGGUAUGCUUAACACAUGCAAGUCGAACGGCAGCACAGUAGCAGCCUGCUCUUACGGGUUGCCAGACGCGUACGGGUCAGGAAUACAUCGUACUCUACUCUUUCGUGUGGGCUCACGUAGGGAAACUUACGCCAAUACCGCAUACGACCUACGGGUGAAAGCAUCUGAUCUUCUGAUCUUUUGCGAAUGAACGAGCCGAUGAUGGACUUGUUAGUUGGCGGGUUAAAGGCCCAGCAAGGCGGCGAUCCGUAGCUGGUGUGAGAGGAUGGUCGGCCGCACGAGAACGGAGACGCGGACCAGACUCCUACGGGAGGCAGCAGUGGGGAAUAGUGGACAGUGGGCGCAAGCCUGGUCCAGCCAGACCGCGUGGGUGAAGAAGGCCUUCGGGUUGUAAAGCCCUUUUGUUGGGAGAAAAAAGCAGCAGGUUGAUAACAAGCUGUUCUGACGGUACCCAAAGAAUAAGCACCGGCUAACUUCGUG